UACAUAUGAAAAGAUGAGCAGUUAGAAAUAAGACCUGCCAUCCUUCAGAGCCCAAUGAUUAAUGAAGGAUGUCACAUGUAUCAUCAGGAAACAAAGGAG
This 99-nucleotide long non-coding RNA is filed under the name Monodelphis domestica (gray short-tailed opossum). RNAcentral describes it as "lncRNA (ENSMODG00000050044.1)". Lineage: Eukaryota; Metazoa; Chordata; Mammalia; Didelphimorphia; Didelphidae. The record is from RNAcentral.